Neofelis nebulosa (Clouded leopard) is the source of this 1495-nucleotide long non-coding RNA. RefSeq lists it as uncharacterized. The transcript is spliced from 4 exons. NCBI's taxonomy places the organism in Eukaryota, Metazoa, Chordata, Mammalia, Carnivora, Felidae. The record is from RefSeq and is a predicted model, not a curated record.
AGAAAACAGCAGCUGAUGAUCUGAAGCCAGGCUGUGCUAUUGUCCGGCACACAAAUGUUCUACAAGGACCCAGACCACCAUGCAGUUCUCUGUGCACAGACUAUGAAGUGAGCCCAUACUGUGCACCUAGAAGUCUUCCCAGGAAUGAGGGGAUUCCCAGGACACCAGACUUUCUGCUAAAACCAGAAAAACCUCAGGCCCAUUGCAGCAAAUCUACUUGCGGUGGACAUUGUGCCUUCAAAGACAAGACACGGUGCCUACCCUCAAGACGUCACAGCCUGGGAGAGAAGACAGACAAUAUAGAGUUCUGAGUGCUUUGAAAGAGGAGAACUCAGUUGCUCUGGCAACUUGCACACUUGUAAGGCCUCAGUUCAGCAAGGGCAACGAGGGAAGGCUUCCUGGCAGAGAAGGAUAUCUGCUUUAAUUCUGAAAGAUCACUAAAGAUGCCUGCUUUGUGGCCCCAACCCAAAUGGGGUCUCCGCAGAGAUUUCCUUAAUCGUAGGACACUGGGCACCCACAUGUCUGACUCUUUCCCACUGUGCCCUCCCCAGCAGAGAACCACAUCACUAUCUGGCCUCAGAUUCUACUGGCUCCCAAAUUCUUCUAAUUGUAUUGCUUUGUUUGAUUCAGAAGCACUGGAAGAAGGGGGUAAUAACAUUCAGGCAAAAGAAGGCUGUUGAUCACAUCUGUAAUUCUUUCUGGAAUAAAGAGAACUAGGGGACAUCUACAAGAAUGUAUAUUCAUCUAAAUUCGUGGGACAGAGGAGUCAGGCAGAAAGGCUUUUCAAAGGCGUGCUGCAUCUUGCUCGGCUGGAAAUGUCUUUCAAUAAGGAGGCAACACAGAGGCCAUGUGAUACAAUCCCGUAGACAGAGCCAAGUGGAAUACAUCAAAGAGAGCCUUGAUGCAGAUGUUUCAUGCAGAAGAAAAUUAGGGUUUGCAAAGCAGUGGCAGAAAAGUAUCAGAAAAGUGCUCAAAGGUCCACGUCUGCUCCAAUCCGGGAUGGGAAGCCAUCAUGAGGAUGUUGCCUUUCUUCCCUGCAUUUAAAAGGCUUUAUCUGGUUUAAAAAAUGAUACUAGUCUUUCUGCUUUUCUUCUUCAACUUGAUCUCCUCUCCACCAGCACUCUCCUACCACUGUUUCUCUCUCUCUCUCUCUCUCUCUCUCUCUCUCUCUCUCUCACACACACACACACACACACACACACACACACUCAAUUAAAAUUUCCAAGGAGGGCAGAAGUGCAGGGAAGCAGUGACAGUGGAGUAGAAAGGUGACCUGAUAAAAAGACCUAGUUUCAAUCCCACCUUUGUGUGGAUGGGAGAAGCAACUCUCUUCUGUGGGCUCAGUGUUCUCACCUGGAGAAGUGUGGGUGCUGCUCCUUGAUACCCUCACAGCUUUGCCACUGAUUCCAUAAAUAGCCUUUCUCAGGAAAUUGAUGUUGUCUGGAAAUGUCUGGCUGUGGGUUGUAACCACAUAUCUACCUACUAAGAUGUUACU